RNAcentral lists this transfer RNA (16 nucleotides) under Lithobates sylvaticus (wood frog). RNAcentral's name for it is "Rana sylvatica (wood frog) partial tRNA-Trp". The record is from RNAcentral. Lineage: Eukaryota; Metazoa; Chordata; Amphibia; Anura; Ranidae.
AAACUUAGGCUAGCAU